RNAcentral lists this unclassified non-coding RNA (342 nucleotides) under Hevea brasiliensis (rubber tree). The record is from RNAcentral. Lineage: Eukaryota; Viridiplantae; Streptophyta; Magnoliopsida; Malpighiales; Euphorbiaceae.
GAUGAAGACACACUUCCAACAUUAUAGUUUUGAAAUAAGCAAAACACAUUAAACACCCAAUUGUCACAGUAAACAAAACUCUUAGGCAAUAUCUAAGAUUUUUAAGUAAACACACAUAAAACAAGAAACUUGUCAAGAACAUUCAAAGAAUAGGACCAUUUUAUAUAUACACAACCAUAUCUAGAGGAUCAAGGCUACAAAGGGAGAUUUAGGUUAAAAAAGAAGAGGGCUUUGUGUUUUGAAACUUGAGUUUAAAAAGGGAAUCAGAAGAACAUGCAUUCAAUGAUAUGAUUGUAGCUGAAAUGGUUGUUAAAUGGUUUUGUAUUUCAUUUUCCUUGAUAA